GGGGGUAUAGCUCAGUUGGUUAGAGCGCUGGCCUGUCAAGCCAGAGGCCGCGGGUUCGAGUCCCGUUACUCCCGCCA
RNAcentral lists this transfer RNA (77 nucleotides) under Aeromicrobium sp. RNAcentral's name for it is "tRNA-Asp". It matches the Rfam family "tRNA". Rfam says of the family: Transfer RNA (tRNA) molecules are approximately 80 nucleotides in length. The record is from RNAcentral. Lineage: Bacteria; Bacillati; Actinomycetota; Actinomycetes; Propionibacteriales; Nocardioidaceae.